AACGCGAAGAACCUUACCUGGGCUCGAAAUGUACAGGACACCCCUAGAAAUAGGGUCUCCCAGCAAUGGGUCUGUAUAUAGGUGCUGCAUGGCUGUCGUCAGCUCGUGUCGUGAGAUGUUGGGUUAAGUCCCGCAACGAGCGCAACCCUUAUCUCCAGUUGCUACCAUUUAGUUGAGCACUCUGGCGAAACCGCUUCGGAUAACGGAGAGGAAGGUGGGGAUGACGUCAAGUCCUCAUGGCCUUUAUGUCCAGGGCUACACACGUGCUACAAUGGCCGGUACAAACCGCUGCAACCCCGCGAGGGUGAGCUAAUCGGAAAAAGCCGGCCUCAGUUCGGAUUGGAGUCUGCAACUCGACUCCAUGAAGCUGGAAUCGCUAGUAAUCGUGGAUCAGCAUGCCACGGUGAAUACGUUCCCGGGCCUUGUACACACCGAGACGUA
This 441-nucleotide ribosomal RNA is filed under the name uncultured bacterium. Its description in RNAcentral is "bacterial SSU rRNA". It matches the Rfam family "Bacterial small subunit ribosomal RNA", at positions 958 to 1398 of the family's 1533-position model. The record is from RNAcentral.